GUGCUUGCUUCAGCAGCACAUACACUAAAAUUGGAAGAAUACAGAGAAGAUUAGUAUGGCCCCUGCGCAAGGAUGACACGCAAAUUCGUGAGGGGUUCCAUAUUAAG
This is a small nuclear RNA of Phyllostomus discolor (pale spear-nosed bat), 107 nucleotides long. The record is from RefSeq and is a predicted model, not a curated record. Lineage: Eukaryota; Metazoa; Chordata; Mammalia; Chiroptera; Phyllostomidae.